UAUUGUCAUUCUCUCUCAUCCACUUCCUCUUUAAGAAACACAUUCUCUCUCUAAUCUCUCUAAUCUCUACAUUGUCUCUCUAAUCUCUAAACUGCCAAUCUCCCUCAAAUCCUACUCUACAAUUCUCGGUAGCUUCCAAAUCAUCAAAUUAGUUCCAAAUUUUUUUUGGGUCAAGACUCGGCUGUUUCCAGAUCUCCAAGUUCAGCCCCAAGUUUUUCCAAUUUCGACUACUUCCCAGAUUCAAAAUCAAGAAGAUUCCAACAACAUCACCAAAUCAAGGUCCGGGCGACAGAAAGUGAAGCCGAAGAAGAAGUGACUCCACGCCAGCUUUAAGAACGUUUAAGGUUGAGCAGGCGAUGGAAUGGUUUGGUGUUGAGCGGGAAUUCUUUUGAAGGAUAUGUAAUGAAACCUUGAGUAUGCAUCUCCAUAUGCAUAACUCACACGUUUUUCCGCUGCAAACACUCUGAAUUUGUUAUCGUAUUGUGAAACUUAUUACUCCUUC
Long non-coding RNA from Salvia miltiorrhiza (redroot sage), 502 nucleotides. RefSeq lists it as uncharacterized. The transcript is spliced from 4 exons. The record is from RefSeq and is a predicted model, not a curated record. NCBI's taxonomy places the organism in Eukaryota, Viridiplantae, Streptophyta, Magnoliopsida, Lamiales, Lamiaceae.